Molecule: transfer RNA, 77 nt
Filed under: Holophaga sp.
Lineage: Bacteria; Pseudomonadati; Acidobacteriota; Holophagae; Holophagales; Holophagaceae
Also listed under: 3 other names
Description: tRNA-Arg
Rfam family: tRNA
About the family: Transfer RNA (tRNA) molecules are approximately 80 nucleotides in length.
Source: RNAcentral
GCAGCCGUAGCUCAGUUGGAUAGAGUAUUGGCCUCCGAAGCCAAGGGUCGCGCGUUCGAGUCGCGCCGGCUGCACCA